AUGCAAAGCCGUUCUGAAGCAGAGCCCCCUCGUGGGGCUUCCUCUCACAGCUCGGUUCUUCUUUGGGUCCUGCCCAUCCCCGCUGGCCUCAGGAGUGGUUUCUGCCUUCAGCCCAGAGCGUUCCAGAGCCGGGGUCUCUGGGACGCGGCAGAGGAAAGCAGUCAUCUCCUUACCCAUAAGCCACCUCCCUCCACACAGCCUGCUGGGAAGCGUGAUACAGCCUCCGGGGACCUGACAUUGGCCUGGGGAGAAAUGCCACUCGCACGUUACAGGGUUGGCACCGACAGCACCCACUCUUGAAGGGGCAGAGUGGACCAGAGUGCAUUCCAUGCAGAAUUGUUCAAUAUUAGGCUCCAUGCGUGAGCCCUCAGGGCUGUCUUCCGCUUUGUGACGCCUGUGCGCACGGCAGUAAUAAAAUCAUUUUAUAGAUGAAGCCGUUGGGACUU
Molecule: long non-coding RNA, 446 nt
Filed under: Oryctolagus cuniculus (rabbit)
Lineage: Eukaryota; Metazoa; Chordata; Mammalia; Lagomorpha; Leporidae
Description: lncRNA (ENSOCUG00000030102.1)
Source: RNAcentral